This 404-nucleotide long non-coding RNA is filed under the name Ursus thibetanus thibetanus. Its description in RNAcentral is "lncRNA (ENSUTTG00000017903.1)". Lineage: Eukaryota; Metazoa; Chordata; Mammalia; Carnivora; Ursidae. The record is from RNAcentral.
UGUUAAAACAGCAGCCGUGUAAAUGGGCCAUGGGGUGGUAAAAGGUUGACAGGAUGAUUAUGCUUGAGGGGCCACUGUUAUGUAUGUCCUUUGGACAGUAGCUUGGAAGAGUUUCAGAGACACUAAUUAAUUCUGCCCCACAGUGAGGGGGUGGUAACCAGCUAGCUCAGUGGGAGGCUGUGCUGGAGAGCUCUGUCUCAGGUCAGAGGACCAGGAAAACACUUCAGGGGGAGAGUUUACGUUCAUCAUGGGCUGUGACAGUGAACUCGUGUGGUGAUGAUGGAAAAUAUCAAAAGGUAAAGAAUACUUAUAAAUCUGUUUAAAAUAUAGAAUCAUUUGACAUAUGGGUAUUAACCAGUUAAUAUAACCAACUCUUCAUGUCUAACUGUUAAUUCAUAUAUACU